This is a transfer RNA of Chaetomium globosum CBS 148.51, 89 nucleotides long. It matches the Rfam family "tRNA". From Rfam's summary of the family: Transfer RNA (tRNA) molecules are approximately 80 nucleotides in length. Their secondary structure includes four short double-helical elements and three loops (D, anti-codon, and T loops). NCBI's taxonomy places the organism in Eukaryota, Fungi, Ascomycota, Sordariomycetes, Sordariales, Chaetomiaceae. The record is from Rfam.
GGGUGACUAGUCUAGUGGUCAGGACGUUUCGUUGUGGUUCUUCCACAUGCAAAACCGAAGAAACCCCGGUUCGAUUCCGGGGUCGCCCA